RNAcentral lists this ribosomal RNA (428 nucleotides) under uncultured archaeon. RNAcentral describes it as "bacterial SSU rRNA". It matches the Rfam family "Archaeal small subunit ribosomal RNA", at positions 474 to 903 of the family's 1478-position model. The record is from RNAcentral.
UACCUAGCCCCCUGAGUGGUAAGGGCGAUUAUUGGGCUUAAAGCGUCCGUAGCCGGCUUAGCAAGUCUCCUGUUAAAUUCAGCGACCUAAUCGUUGAGCCGCGGGAGAUACUACUAGGCUAGGAGGCGGGAGAGGUCGACGGUACUUCUGGGGUAGGGGUGAAAUCCUAUAAUCCCGGGAGGACCACCAGUGGCGAAGGCUGUCGACUAGAACGCGCUCGACGGUGAGGGACGAAAGCUGGGGGAGCGAACCGGAUUAGAUACUCGGGUAGUCCCAGCUGUAAACGAUGCGGGCUAGGUGUUGGGGUGGCUACGUGCCACUUCAGUGCCGCAGAGAAGCCAUUAAGCCCGCCGCCUGGGGGUACGCCGCAAGGCUGAAACUUAAAGGAAUUGGCGGGGGAGCACCACAAGGCGUGAAGCUUGCGGUUC